Molecule: long non-coding RNA, 229 nt
Filed under: Physcomitrium patens
Lineage: Eukaryota; Viridiplantae; Streptophyta; Bryopsida; Funariales; Funariaceae
Description: long non-coding RNA (PPAT_LNC006977)
Source: RNAcentral
GAUCUUCUUUGGAUAUCAAUUCUUGGCUUUUUGAGGUAAAUUUUGUUAAAAUCUAUUCAAAUUACCUCCUAUACAUUCCUAUAUUAUUUAAUUUUCUAAUCUAUUUUAUUUUGUCUUUUUAUGGUCCUACAAAGUAAGUAGAAGCCUAUUUUUUAAAAAGAUAUUAUUAAUAUUUUUUAGUUUAACUAUCUUUUCGACUAUUAUCUAUAUUUUUAAGAUGAUUUGUUAU